RNAcentral lists this ribosomal RNA (483 nucleotides) under uncultured bacterium. Its description in RNAcentral is "partial 16S ribosomal RNA". It matches the Rfam family "Bacterial small subunit ribosomal RNA", at positions 29 to 523 of the family's 1533-position model. The record is from RNAcentral.
AAUGAACGUUGGCGGCGUGGAUUAGGCAUGCGAGUCGAGCGAGAACCGUAGCAAUACGGGGACAGCGGCGAAAGGGUCAGUAACGGGUAGAUUAUCUGCCCUCAGGUUUGGGAUAGCUGCGGGAAACUGCAAGUAAUACCAAAUAAUAUCUCCGGAUCAAAGGUGUGAUUCCGCCUGAGGAUGAGUCUGCCUCCUAUUAGCUUGUUGGUGGGGUAACGGCCUACCAAGGCAUUGAUGGGUAGCGGGUGUGAGAGCACGACCCGCGUCAUUGGGACUGAGACACUGCCCAGACACCUACGGGUGGCUGCAGUCGAGAAUCUUCGGCAAUGGACGCAAGUCUGACCGAGCGACGCCGCGUGUGGGAUGAAGGCCUUCGGGUUGUAAACCACUGUCAGAGGGGAUGAAAUGCAGGUGGGUACUCCCAUUUGUUUGACAUAGCCUCAGAGGAAGUACGGGCUAAGUUCGUGCCAGCAGCCGCAGUAA